GACGAACGCUGGCGGCGUGCUUAACACAUGCAAGUCGAACGGUGAAGCGCCUUCCUUUUUGGUGGGUGUGGAUGAGUGGCGAACGGGUGAGUAACACGUGAGUAACCUGCCCCCUUCUUCUGGAUAACCGCAUGAAAGUGUGGCUAAUACGGGGAAUUCUGGGUCUGUCGCAUGAUGGGUCUGGGAAAGACAUUGUUUCGGGGGGGGAGGGGCCCGCGGCCUAUCAGCUUGUUGGUGGGGUGAUGGCCUACCAAGGCGGUGACGGGUAGCCGGCCUGAGAGGGUGGUCGGUCACCCUGGGACUGGGCCACGGCCCAGACUCCUACGGGAGGCAGCAGUGGGGAAUAUUGCACAGUGGGCGCAAGCCUGAUGCAGCGACGCCGCGUGAGGGAUGGAGGCCUUCGGGUUGUGAACCUCUUUCGCCAGUGAAGCAGGCCUGCCUCGUUUGUGGGUGGGUUGACGGUAGCUGGAUAAGAAGCGCCGGCUAACUACGUG
Molecule: ribosomal RNA, 494 nt
Filed under: uncultured bacterium
Lineage: Bacteria
Description: partial 16S ribosomal RNA
Rfam family: Bacterial small subunit ribosomal RNA
Source: RNAcentral